The sequence is a small nucleolar RNA, 104 nucleotides long. It matches the Rfam family "Small nucleolar RNA snR60/Z15/Z230/Z193/J17". From Rfam's summary of the family: The members of this family belong to the C/D class of snoRNAs which contain the C (UGAUGA) and D (CUGA) box motifs. Most of the members of the box C/D family function in directing site-specific 2'-O-methylation of substrate RNAs. The record is from Rfam.
AUCCGCGAAUUGAUGAUAUAUACCGAAUCAAGCAUAGUUCACACUGAAACUCUCAUGUUGACAAACCUGCAUCUAACGUCUUUCGCUCCUAUCUGAUCCCCAUC